GCAUCGGUGGUUCAGUGGUAGAAUUCUCGCCUGCCACGCGGGAGGCCCGGAUUCGAUUCCCGGCCGAUGCA
This 71-nucleotide transfer RNA is filed under the name Petromyzon marinus (sea lamprey). RNAcentral's name for it is "tRNA-Gly (GCC) (tRNA-Gly-GCC-10-1)". It matches the Rfam family "tRNA". From Rfam's summary of the family: Transfer RNA (tRNA) molecules are approximately 80 nucleotides in length. Their secondary structure includes four short double-helical elements and three loops (D, anti-codon, and T loops). Further hydrogen bonds mediate the characteristic L-shaped molecular structure. tRNAs have two regions of fundamental functional importance: the anti-codon, which is responsible for specific mRNA codon recognition, and the 3' end, to which the tRNAs corresponding amino acid is attached (by aminoacyl-tRNA synthetases). tRNAs cope with the degeneracy of the genetic code in two manners: having more than one tRNA (with a specific anti-codon) for a particular amino acid; and 'wobble' base-pairing, i.e. permitting non-standard base-pairing at the 3rd anti-codon position. The record is from RNAcentral. Lineage: Eukaryota; Metazoa; Chordata; Hyperoartia; Petromyzontiformes; Petromyzontidae.